Molecule: ribosomal RNA, 3095 nt
Filed under: Salmonella sp. NCTC 11881
Lineage: Bacteria; Pseudomonadati; Pseudomonadota; Gammaproteobacteria; Enterobacterales; Enterobacteriaceae
Description: 23S ribosomal RNA
Rfam family: Bacterial large subunit ribosomal RNA
Source: RNAcentral
UUAAGCGACUAAGCGUACACGGUGGAUGCCCUGGCAGUCAGAGGCGAUGAAGGGCGUGCUAAUCUGCGAUAAGCGCCGGUAAGGUGAUAUGAACCGUUAUAACCGGCGAUACCCGAAUGGGGAAACCCAGUGUGAUUCGUCACACUAUCAUUAAACUGAAUCCAUAGGUUAAUGAGGCGAACCGGGGGAACUGAAACAUCUAAGUACCCCGAGGAAAAGAAAUCAACCGAGAUUCCCCCAGUAGCGGCGAGCGAACGGGGAGGAGCCCAGAGCCUGAAUCAGCAUGUGUGUUAGUGGAAGCGUCUGGAAAGGCGCGCGAUACAGGGUGACAGCCCCGUACACAAAAGCGCAUGUGCUGUGAGCUCGAUGAGUAGGGCGGGACACGUGGUAUCCUGUCUGAAUAUGGGGGGGACCAUCCUCCAAGGCUAAAUACUCCUGACUGACCGAUAGUGAACCAGUACCGUGAGGGAAAGGCGAAAAGAACCCCGGCGAGGGGAGUGAAAAAGAACCUGAAACCGUGUACGUACAAGCAGUGGGAGCCCCCACCACUAAGCCAGUGGUGAACUCCACAUCCGCAUCCUUUGCUGAGGAUACGGUUAACGGAGCGAAAGCGACGUUCAACCGCAAAACAAGCAGAGGGGGCUUAGUGGUGGGGUGACUGCGUACCUUUUGUAUAAUGGGUCAGCGACUUAUAUUCUGUAGCAAGGUUAACCGAAUAGGGGAGCCGGAGGGAAACCGAGUCUUAAUUGGGCGUUAAGUUGCAGGGUAUAGACCCGAAACCCGGUGAUCUAGCCAUGGGCAGGUUGAAGGUUGGGUAACACUAACUGGAGGACCGAACCGACUAAUGUUGAAAAAAUUAGCGGAUGACCUGUGGCUGGGGGUGAAAGGCCAAUCAAACCGGGAGAUAGCUGGUUCUCCCCGAAAGCUAUUUAGGUAGCGCCUCGUGAAUUCAUCUCCGGGGGUAGAGCACUGUUUCGGCUAGGGGGGCCAUCCCGGCUUACCAACCCGAUGCAAACUGCGAAUACCGGAGAAUGUUAUCACGGGAGACACACGGCGGGUGCUAACGUCCGUCGUGAAGAGGGAAAACAACCCAGACCGCCAGCUAAGGUCCCAAAGUCAUGGUUAAGUGGGAAACGAUGUGGGAAGGCCCAGACAGCCAGGAUGUUGGCUUAGAAGCAGCCAUCAUUUAAAGAAAGCGUAAUAGCUCACUGGUCGAGUCGGCCUGCGCGGAAGAUGUAACGGGGCUAAACCAUGCACCGAAGCUGCGGCAGCGAACGUAUCACCCAAGACAACUUUACGGAGUUGACGAUUGACGGAGCGAAGCGACGUCAAAGCGUUCAUUAAAGUCGAGUUGGCUUAGGGAUACGUUCGUUGGGUAGGGGAGCGUUCUGUAAGCCUGUGAAGGUGUGUCGUGAGGCAUGCUGGAGGUAUCAGAAGUGCGAAUGCUGACAUAAGUAACGAUAAAGCGGGUGAAAAGCCCGCUCGCCGGAAGACCAAGGGUUCCUGUCCAACGUUAAUCGGGGCAGGGUGAGUCGACCCCUAAGGCGAGGCCGAAAGGCGUAGUCGAUGGGAAACGGGUUAAUAUUCCCGUACUUGGUGUUACUGCGAAGGGGGGACGGAGAAGGCUAUGUUGGCCGGGCGACGGUUGUCCCGGUUUAAGCGUGUAGGUGUGUGUUCCAGGUAAAUCCGGUUCACUUUAACACUGAGGCGUGACGACGAGGCACUACGGUGCUGAAGCAACAAAUGCCCUGCUUCCAGGAAAAGCCUCUAAGCAUCAGGUAACACGAAAUCGUACCCCAAACCGACACAGGUGGUCAGGUAGAGAAUACCAAGGCGCUUGAGAGAACUCGGGUGAAGGAACUAGGCAAAAUGGUGCCGUAACUUCGGGAGAAGGCACGCUGACACGUAGGUGAAGUGAUUUACUCAUGGAGCUGAAGUCAGUCGAAGAUACCAGCUGGCUGCAACUGUUUAUUAAAAACACAGCACUGUGCAAACACGAAAGUGGACGUAUACGGUGUGACGCCUGCCCGGUGCCGGAAGGUUAAUUGAUGGGGUCAGCGCAAGCGAAGCUCCUGAUCGAAGCCCCGGUAAACGGCGGCCGUAACUAUAACGGUCCUAAGGUAGCGAAAUUCCUUGUCGGGUAAGUUCCGACCUGCACGAAUGGCGUAAUGAUGGCCAGGCUGUCUCCACCCGAGACUCAGUGAAAUUGAACUCGCUGUGAAGAUGCAGUGUACCCGCGGCAAGACGGAAAGACCCCGUGAACCUUUACUAUAGCUUGACACUGAACAUUGAGCCUUGAUGUGUAGGAUAGGUGGGAGGCUUUGAAGUGUGGACGCCAGUCUGCAUGGAGCCGACCUUGAAAUACCACCCUUUAAUGUUUGAUGUUCUAACGUGGACCCGUAAUCCGGGUUGCGGACAGUGUCUGGUGGGUAGUUUGACUGGGGCGGUCUCCUCCUAAAGAGUAACGGAGGAGCACGAAGGUUGGCUAAUCCUGGUCGGACAUCAGGAGGUUAGUGCAAUGGCAUAAGCCAGCUUGACUGCGAGCGUGACGGCGCGAGCAGGUGCGAAAGCAGGUCAUAGUGAUCCGGUGGUUCUGAAUGGAAGGGCCAUCGCUCAACGGAUAAAAGGUACUCCGGGGAUAACAGGCUGAUACCGCCCAAGAGUUCAUAUCGACGGCGGUGUUUGGCACCUCGAUGUCGGCUCAUCACAUCCUGGGGCUGAAGUAGGUCCCAAGGGUAUGGCUGUUCGCCAUUUAAAGUGGUACGCGAGCUGGGUUUAGAACGUCGUGAGACAGUUCGGUCCCUAUCUGCCGUGGGCGCUGGAGAACUGAGGGGGGCUGCUCCUAGUACGAGAGGACCGGAGUGGACGCAUCACUGGUGUUCGGGUUGUCAUGCCAAUGGCACUGCCCGGUAGCUAAAUGCGGAAGAGAUAAGUGCUGAAAGCAUCUAAGCACGAAACUUGCCCCGAGAUGAGUUCUCCCUGAGACUUAGAGUCUCCUGAAGGAACGUUGAAGACGACGACGUUGAUAGGCCGGGUGUGUAAGCGCAGCGAUGCGUUGAGCUAACCGGUACUAAUGAACCGUGAGGCUUAACCUU